GGCACUACGGUGCUGAAGCAACAAAUGCCCUGCUUCCAGGAAAAGCCUCUAAGCAUCAGGUAACACGAAAUCGUACCCCAAACCGACACAGGUGGUCAGGUAGAGAAUACCAAGGCGCUUGAGAGAACUCGGGUGAAGGAACUAGGCAAAAUGGUGCCGUAACUUCGGGAGAAGGCACGCUGACACGUAGGUGAAGUGAUUUACUCAUGGAGCUGAAGUCAGUCGAAGAUACCAGCUGGCUGCAACUGUUUAUUAAAAACACAGCACUGUGCAAACACGAAAGUGGACGUAUACGGUGUGACGCCUGCCCGGUGCCGGAAGGUUAAUUGAUGGGGUCAGCGCAAGCGAAGCUCCUGAUCGAAGCCCCGGUAAACGGCGGCCGUAACUAUAACGGUCCUAAGGUAGCGAAAUUCCUUGUCGGGUAAGUUCCGACCUGCACGAAUGGCGUAAUGAUGGCCAGGCUGUCUCCACCCGAGACUCAGUGAAAUUGAACUCGCUGUGAAGAUGCAGUGUACCCGCGGCAAGACGGAAAGACCCCGUGAACCUUUACUAUAGCUUGACACUGAACAUUGAGCCUUGAUGUGUAGGAUAGGUGGGAGGCUUUGAAGUGUGGACGCCAGUCUGCAUGGAGCCGACCUUGAAAUACCACCCUUUAAUGUUUGAUGUUCUAACGUGGACCCGUAAUCCGGGUUGCGGACAGUGUCUGGUGGGUAGUUUGACUGGGGCGGUCUCCUCCUAAAGAGUAACGGAGGAGCACGAAGGUUGGCUAAUCCUGGUCGGACAUCAGGAGGUUAGUGCAAUGGCAUAAGCCAGCUUGACUGCGAGCGUGACGGCGCGAGCAGGUGCGAAAGCAGGUCAUAGUGAUCCGGUGGUUCUGAAUGGAAGGGCCAUCGCUCAACGGAUAAAAGGUACUCCGGGGAUAACAGGCUGAUACCGCCCAAGAGUUCAUAUCGACGGCGGUGUUUGGCACCUCGAUGUCGGCUCAUCACAUCCUGGGGCUGAAGUAGGUCCCAAGGGUAUGGCUGUUCGCCAUUUAAAGUGGUACGCGAGCUGGGUUUAGAACGUCGUGAGACAGUUCGGUCCCUAUCUGCCGUGGGCGCUGGAGAACUGAGGGGGGCUGCUCCUAGUACGAGAGGACCGGAGUGGACGCAUCACUGGUGUUCGGGUUGUCAUGCCAAUGGCACUGCCCGGUAGCUAAAUGCGGAAGAGAUAAGUGCUGAAAGCAUCUAAGCACGAAACUUGCCCCGAGAUGAGUUCUCCCUGAGACUUAGAGUCUC
Molecule: ribosomal RNA, 1277 nt
Filed under: Salmonella enterica subsp. enterica serovar Typhimurium
Lineage: Bacteria; Pseudomonadati; Pseudomonadota; Gammaproteobacteria; Enterobacterales; Enterobacteriaceae
Description: partial 23S ribosomal RNA
Rfam family: Bacterial large subunit ribosomal RNA
Source: RNAcentral